Molecule: long non-coding RNA, 539 nt
Organism: Neopelma chrysocephalum (saffron-crested tyrant-manakin)
Lineage: Eukaryota; Metazoa; Chordata; Aves; Passeriformes; Pipridae
Exons: 3
Source: RefSeq, a predicted model, not a curated record
GGAGCGCUGCCGUAAAGCGCGCGGCGGCGCUGUCGCUAAGGCAGCGGGCGAGAGGACCCGGGGACUACAGGGGAAGCCACGCCCCCUUUGGGGGAUCAACCAAUCAGCGAGCGCGCUGGAAAGGCGGGAGCUAUGGAGAAGAGGAAAGCCGCGCCCUCUUUGGGGAAUCAGCCAAUCAGCGCUCUGGACACGCCCCUCCCGCCGGGGUCGGUCGCCAGGGAGACGCGCGGCGCCAUUUGGGGCUGAGGCGGUGGCGGAGCCACUUCCGGUGGGAGCGGCCUCGGCCCGAGCCCGGCCCAGCCCUAAACCCGGCCCAGCAGGGACCCAGCCUCGUGACAGCCCCGGCCCCGCUCCCCCGGCUCGGCCCCGGCCCCGUUCCCGGUCCAGCCGCGGCCCCGCGGAGCUCCUGAGGCGGAGGUGGAGCGGGACGCGCAGGGCCCCCCCCCGGGGGCCGUGGCCGCCAUGGCCGCCGUGUGGCAGCAGGUCCUGGCCGUGGAUGCCCGGUACCGCGGCGCCGCCCUGCUUUCUGUCCUCAUUCC